Long non-coding RNA from Cuculus canorus (common cuckoo), 732 nucleotides. RefSeq lists it as uncharacterized. NCBI's taxonomy places the organism in Eukaryota, Metazoa, Chordata, Aves, Cuculiformes, Cuculidae. The transcript has 3 exons. The record is from RefSeq and is a predicted model, not a curated record.
GAAAGAGAGUAUAUAAGACUAAAAGGGGGACUGAUUUGCCAGUAAAAUUCUCGGUUACUCCUAUCAUAAGAAAACAGUUGGCAUCUGCUUCAGGGACAUUUCUAGGUGGAGUAAAUAUGAUGAAUGGAGGCAGAGGAGGUCUGAGGUCUCAGAGACAUUUACAAAGUGCAGAUGGAAACUCAAAGGUCUGGAUCUACUGUGCCUAUGUCAUCGUGUCAAAUGCUUGUGAAGAUUUAACUUAACAUUCAUGAAGUCCAUCUCUUGUACUCAUUUGCUUUUGAGCACUGUGGAGAAACUUGUAUUGCUACUUCAUUUUCUCAUUCUUCAGCUGUGAAAAUGAAGAAGAAUGUUAGGGAUCUACAGGUUUUUAAGGAGUUUGUGUUGUCCAUUUAAUUAAAGAAUCUUAUUAGCAUCUUAUUUUACAGAUGAAGAGAUUUAUGCAUUGAGCAGUCUGACCCUUUAUGCAGUGAAAGGGUCUGUCCCGGAAUAAAUUAUUGCCUAAUAUUUACAUGAUAAAACAUUUGGGGGAGCUGGAUUUCAGCCUGCAUAGCUAACCUCAUUAACGCUGGGAGCCAGCAUUAAGACCCCACUCCUGGAGGCUGGGCUAUAGGGCUUGAGGUUGCUGCUGGCCAUAAGAGGCUCCUGGGUGCCGUGCAGGAGGUAUGGCCUUUGGAGUCUGCUUUCAGCCAAGGGUCUUGCUUUGGUCCAAUUGCACUACACCUCCUGCUGCAU